This is a ribosomal RNA of 1354 nucleotides. It matches the Rfam family "Bacterial small subunit ribosomal RNA", at positions 75 to 1441 of the family's 1533-position model.
GCCCUUCGGGGUACUCGAGUGGCGAACGGGUGAGUAACACGUGGGUGAUCUGCCCUGCACUUUGGGAUAAGCCUGGGAAACUGGGUCUAAUACCGAAUACACCCUUCUGGCUGCAUGGUCUGGGAGGGGAAAGCUUUUGCGGUGUGGGAUGGGCCCGCGGCCUAUCAGCUUGUUGGUGAGGUUACGGCUCACCAAGGCGACGACGGGUAGCCGGCCUGAGAGGGUGACCGGCCACACUGGGACUGAGAUACGGCCCAGACUCCUACGGGAGGCAGCAGUGGGGAAUAUUGCACAAUGGGCGCAAGCCUGAUGCAGCGACGCCGCGUGAGGGAUGACGGCCUUCGGGUUGUAAACCUCUUUCGCCAGGGACGAAGCGCAAGUGACGGUACCUGGAGAAGAAGGACCGGCCAACUACGUGCCAGCAGCCGCGGUAAUACGUAGGGUCCGAGCGUUGUCCGGAAUUACUGGGCGUAAAGAGCUCGUAGGUGGUUUGUCGCGUUGUUCGUGAAAACUCACAGCUCAACUGUGGGCGUGCGGGCGAUACGGGCAGACUGGAGUACUGCAGGGGAGACUGGAAUUCCUGGUGUAGCGGUGGAAUGCGCAGAUAUCAGGAGGAACACCGGUGGCGAAGGCGGGUCUCUGGGCAGUAACUGACGCUGAGGAGCGAAAGCGUGGGGAGCGAACAGGAUUAGAUACCCUGGUAGUCCACGCCGUAAACGGUGGGUACUAGGUGUGGGUUUCCUUCCUUGGGAUCCGUGCCGUAGCUAACGCAUUAAGUACCCCGCCUGGGGAGUACGGCCGCAAGGCUAAAACUCAAAGAAAUUGACGGGGGCCCGCACAAGCGGCGGAGCAUGUGGAUUAAUUCGAUGCAACGCGAAGAACCUUACCUGGGUUUGACAUGCACAGGACGUGCCUAGAGAUAGGUAUUCCCUUGUGGCCUGUGUGCAGGUGGUGCAUGGCUGUCGUCAGCUCGUGUCGUGAGAUGUUGGGUUAAGUCCCGCAACGAGCGCAACCCUUAUCUUAUGUUGCCAGCGCGUAAUGGCGGGGACUCGUGAGAGACUGCCGGGGUCAACUCGGAGGAAGGUGGGGAUGACGUCAAGUCAUCAUGCCCCUUAUGUCCAGGGCUUCACACAUGCUACAAUGGCCGGUACAAAGGGCUGCGAUGCCGUGAGGUGGAGCGAAUCCUUUCAAAGCCGGUCUCAGUUCGGAUCGGGGUCUGCAACUCGACCCCGUGAAGUCGGAGUCGCUAGUAAUCGCAGAUCAGCAACGCUGCGGUGAAUACGUUCCCGGGCCUUGUACACACCGCCCGUCACGUCAUGAAAGUCGGUAACACCCGAAGCCGGUGGCCUAACCC